Long non-coding RNA from Glycine soja, 239 nucleotides. RefSeq lists it as uncharacterized. The record is from RefSeq and is a predicted model, not a curated record. The transcript has 3 exons. NCBI's taxonomy places the organism in Eukaryota, Viridiplantae, Streptophyta, Magnoliopsida, Fabales, Fabaceae.
AUCCCAGAUCCAAGGGUUGAUCCUUCUCAAUAUCGUGAUUUAGUACAUUAUUGGUGUUCUGAGAAAGGACAGAAAAUAAGCAACAUCAACAAAAGGAGCCGCUCAAAAUAUGAGGACUUGCAUUGCAUAGGAACCAAUAAUCUUCCAAGACGGAUUCAUGAGAUGACUACAAAGGCUAAGGGAGUGCAACCUUCUAGGGCAGAAAUUUAUAUUGACACUCGAACUCGAAAAGAUGGAAG